GGGGGCGAUAGGUUUCGACGGGAUGAACUGAUUCCAAGGGAAGCAUACCGAGGCCUGGGGACUCGUUAAAACACCAGAAAAAAAUAGUCGCAAACGACUAUAAUUACGCUCUGGCUGCUUAAGGCAGCCGGCGUCUCUUAGGCCUGUUCCUGCCGGAUUUAAGAGACGACAAUCAGCAGGAUGGCUUUUGGGGCUCGGUCCGAAGGACCUGAAGGCAAGAUUUAAACGGACUGGUUUCCUGGUUUGAUGCCUGUAACGAACCAUGAAGCGAGAAAAAUCUACAGGCUAAGUAUGUAGAUGCCCUGGAUAAGCAUUCCCGGACGUGGGUUCGAUUCCCACCGCCUCCACCA
This 350-nucleotide transfer-messenger RNA is filed under the name Deltaproteobacteria bacterium. It matches the Rfam family "transfer-messenger RNA". Rfam says of the family: Bacterial tmRNA, also known as 10Sa RNA or SsrA, is named for its dual tRNA and mRNA-like properties. Its role is to liberate the mRNA from a stalled ribosome. Lineage: Bacteria; Pseudomonadati; Myxococcota; Myxococcia. The record is from RNAcentral.